Pelodiscus sinensis (Chinese soft-shelled turtle) is the source of this 715-nucleotide non-coding RNA. NCBI's taxonomy places the organism in Eukaryota, Metazoa, Chordata, Testudines, Trionychidae. The record is from RefSeq and is a predicted model, not a curated record.
CUGAGUUUUUUAGGAAGGGGCCAACACGCUGCAGACUCAUCGCCUACUUUGACUUCUCACAGGCUCGACCUGCACAAAACGUCCGUCUGGCUGGGAGCUUUUUGAGAAAAAUUGUUACUUCUUCUCCAUGGUGACUAAAAGCUGGGGGCAGGUGAAGCAGGCCUGCAUCGACCAAGGGUCUCGCCUGGUGAUCGUCAACACCAAUCUGGAACAGCCUCGGCCCCUUCUGGGGACUCUUUACUCCAGUGGAGCAAGAUUUCCCCAACAAUUUGGUGUCAGAAGUGGAAUAGCUUGGAACGCCAGUUGGAAAGUCUGACGACGGGGAACAGGAACGGACUACAGCGCGCAUCUGGAGGGAGGAGACUCACAGGCUAAUGGCCACACGGAAAGAAGAAACCUAGACAUAAAACGGCGGUUAGGAAAGCUUGCACCUGCAGAUGAAGGAAGCCCUCCCAGUACCUACUGAUGUACCGUGCCACAACAACCCACCAGGCGACUACGUGUUUGUGAAGGAACCUCGCAGAAAGAACUGCCUGGCAGCCCGGUGGGAAGGACUGUUCCAAGUGCUGCUCGUCACCCACACAGCAGUAAAGGCGAAGGAGCCUUUCUGAGAUUUAAAAAGUGAUCUUGGGUGUAAAAAGGUUGGAGGCCACUGGUAUAAAGGAUCCCUGAAACUGUCUCUCAGGGCUGCUGCUGCUCUCACUCUGGUAGCUGU